RNAcentral lists this ribosomal RNA (490 nucleotides) under uncultured bacterium. RNAcentral's name for it is "partial 16S ribosomal RNA". It matches the Rfam family "Bacterial small subunit ribosomal RNA", at positions 29 to 507 of the family's 1533-position model. The record is from RNAcentral.
AGUGAACGCUGGCGGUAGGCCUAACACAUGCAAGUCGAACGGCAGCACAGGAGAGCUUGCUCUCUGGGUGGCGAGUGGCGGACGGGUGAGGAAUACAUCGGAAUCUGCUCAGUCGUGGGGGACAACGUAGGGAAACUUACGCUAAUACCGCAUACGACCUUCGGGUGAAUGAGGGGGAUCGCAAGACCUCUCGCGAUUGGAUGAGCCGAUGUCGGUUUAGCUUGUUGGCGGGGUAAUGGCCCACCAGGGCGACGAUCCGUAGCUGGUCUGAGAGGAUGAUCGGCCGCACUGGAACUGGGACACGGUCCAGAGUCCUACGGGAGGCAGCAGUGGGGAAUGUUGGACAAUGGGCGCAAGCCUGGUCCAGCCAUACCGCGUGGGUGAAGAAGGCCUUCGGGUUGUAAAGCCCUUUUGUUGGGAAAGAAAUCUUUCAGGCUGAUACCCUGGGAGGAUGACGGUACCCAAAGAAUAAGCACCGGCUAACUUCGUG